CCUACGGGAGGCAGCAGUGAGGAAUAUUGGUCAAUGGGCUUACGCCUGAACCAGCCAAGCCGCGUGAGGGAAGACUGCCCUAUGGGUUUUAAACCUCUUUUGUCAGGGAGCAACGCCGGCUACGUGUAUCCGGACUGAGAGUCCCUGAUGAAUAAGCAUCGGCAACUCCGUGCCAGCAGCCGCGGUAAUAGGGAGGAUGCGAGCGUUAUCCGGAUUUAUUGGGUUUAACGUGUGCGUAGGCGGAAGGCCAAGUCAGCGGUAAAAUCGCGGGGUUCAACCUCGCUCCGCCGUUGAAACUGGCGUUCUUGAGUGCGCGAGAAGUAUGCGGAAUGCGUGGUGUAGCGGUGAAAUGCAUAGAUAUCACGCAGAACUCCGAUUGCGAAGGCAGCAUACCGGCCCCCAACUGACGCUGAAGCACGAAAGCGUGGGUAUCGAACAGGAUUAGAUACCCCUGUAGUC
Molecule: ribosomal RNA, 459 nt
Filed under: uncultured bacterium
Lineage: Bacteria
Description: partial 16S ribosomal RNA
Rfam family: Bacterial small subunit ribosomal RNA
Source: RNAcentral